AGACAUCUGACAAGUCCCAAAUAAGACGAAAUGCGCAUCCUGGAU
RNAcentral lists this non-coding RNA (45 nucleotides) under Trichobilharzia regenti. Lineage: Eukaryota; Metazoa; Platyhelminthes; Trematoda; Strigeidida; Schistosomatidae. The record is from RNAcentral.